Molecule: long non-coding RNA, 1469 nt
Filed under: Citrus sinensis (sweet orange)
Lineage: Eukaryota; Viridiplantae; Streptophyta; Magnoliopsida; Sapindales; Rutaceae
Description: long non-coding RNA (CSIN_LNC000699)
Source: RNAcentral
AGGUUACUGUUGAUGUUCCUGACAUUCGAGGAAGAACAGAGAUAUUAAAGGUUCACGGUAGCAACAAGAAGUUUGAUGCAGAUGUGUCUCUUGAUGUGAUAGCCAUGAGAACACCUGGGUUCAGUGGUGCUGACCUUGCAAACCUCUUAAAUGAGGCUGCUAUAUUGGCUGGACGACGUGGGAAAGCUGCUAUUUCAUCUAAAGAGAUUGAUGAUUCGAUUGAUAGGAUUGUGGCUGGAAUGGAAGGAACUGUCAUGACAGAUGGGAAGAGUAAAAGUCUUGUUGCAUACCAUGAAGUUGGCCACGCAAUAUGCGGGUAAGUAGGAUUAUUUUUAUUUAUUUGUCUUUUAUGAAAUUUACCAGAUGAAUUAUAAUAAGGCCUUUGAUUAAUCUUCAGUUUAAGCCGAUCCAUAGUUUUAGCCUGCGAAAGUUUUAUGCUAUUUUGUUAGAUAUAAUGGUAUAUAAUUGAUGGAAAUCAUCUCAAUGAACUCACCAUUUGGCACAACUAAGGUGCCUUGAUUGUGUUAUUUAUGUGAUAGUGGUUAGUUAAAUUGGUGGUCAAUGAAUUUUUUGAAUCUCUAAGGAAGAGUCUAAAAAUUAUAUUUUCUACUAAACCUGACUAUAGUUAAUAGUAUGAAACUUGUAUAAAUAUGAGAUAAAGUUUUCCAAUUAAAAUAUGAUUUUGGUUACUGCUUGGUGGAAGUUUUGGAUGGUAGACUAGCAAAUCCUUUACUUUGAUAAGAAGUUUUGGAUGGUUGGUUACAGAACCUUUGCUUUGAUGAAGGUAGCAUCUAGCCUGAAUUCCUGGUCAAACAUACAAAAAACUGCCAGUUAGGCUGAAAAGCAUUGUCAUGAUACCAAUGGGAGUACAUGUUCAUGUUUAAAAGUUUAAGCUUGCAUCAUAUAUACAAUGCAGUAAGUUGAAGCUAGACUAGACUAUGUACUACUUUUAGAGUCAUCUUAUAAGAAUCUGGGUAGAUUUGCUAAUGCAGCAUUCUUAUUUUGGCAAGCACUCUUUGUAAGCACAGUAAAGUUUGCUACAGGAAUGUAAGCAGGACUUUACGAGCAAUCCAUCAAUCUCCUCUUACCCUUCUCCAUUCCUCUGUUUUCAUCUAUAAUUGAUUUUUUUUCUUCCAUCUGUUCUUCUUUUCCUGAGGUUCAUCUUUUAGGCUUUGUUAGAUGUCUGUUUUGCUACUAUCUAGUUGUUUUAAGAACUUAUGGAAUUGUUUUACUUUCUUUUGGUUCCAGAACUUUGACUCCAGGACACGAUCCCGUUCAAAAAGUCACCCUUGUUCCACGUGGUCAGGCAAGAGGUCUUACCUGGUUCAUCCCUUCAGAUGACCCCACCUUGAUAUCGAAGCAGCAGCUCUUUGCAAGAAUUGUUGGUGGACUCGGUGGUAGAGCUGCUGAGGAAGUGAUUUUUGGAGAGCCUGAAGUGACAACAGGAGCAGCUGGUGAUUUGCAGCAGA